AACGAACGCUGGCGGCAUGCCUAACACAUGCAAGUCGAACGAGACCUUCGGGUCUAGUGGCGCACGGGUGCGUAACGCGUGGGAAUCUGCCCUGGGGUGCGGAAUAACUCGGAGAAAUCCGUGCUAAUACCGCAUAAUGUCUUCGGACCAAAGAUUUAUCGCCCUGGGAUGAGCCCGCGUAGGAUUAGCUAGUUGGUGGGGUAAAGGCCUACCAAGGCGACGAUCCUUAGCUGGUCUGAGAGGAUGAUCAGCCACACUGGGACUGAGACACAGCCCAGACUCCUACGGGAGGCAGCAGUGGGGAAUAUUGGACAAUGGGCGAAAGCCUGAUCCAGC
This 336-nucleotide ribosomal RNA is filed under the name uncultured bacterium. RNAcentral's name for it is "bacterial SSU rRNA". It matches the Rfam family "Bacterial small subunit ribosomal RNA", at positions 29 to 392 of the family's 1533-position model. The record is from RNAcentral.